UACGAAGGGGGCUAGCGUUGCUCGGAAUUACUGGGCGUAAAGCGCACGUAGGCGGGUUCUUAAGUCGGUGGUGAAAUCCUGGAGCUCAACUCCAGAACUGCCUUCGAUACUGGGAAUCUUGAGUCCGGGAGAGGUGAGUGGAACUGCGAGUGUAGAGGUGAAAUUCGUAGAUAUUCGCAAGAACACCAGUGGCGAAGGCGGCUCACUGGCCCGGUACUGACGCUGAGGUGCGAAAGCGUGGGGAGCAAACAGG
This 253-nucleotide ribosomal RNA is filed under the name uncultured bacterium. RNAcentral describes it as "partial 16S ribosomal RNA". It matches the Rfam family "Bacterial small subunit ribosomal RNA", at positions 524 to 776 of the family's 1533-position model. The record is from RNAcentral.